Aquila chrysaetos chrysaetos is the source of this 632-nucleotide long non-coding RNA. RefSeq lists it as uncharacterized. The record is from RefSeq and is a predicted model, not a curated record. The transcript is spliced from 4 exons. Lineage: Eukaryota; Metazoa; Chordata; Aves; Accipitriformes; Accipitridae.
UAUUGUGCAGUCUACAGCUGUGGGCUCAAGCAUCCCACAACGAGACACAGCAUGUGUGCAGUCCACAGCUCCAGCACGAACCCAGCUCAUGUCCUGGCUGGUGAAAAAAUUCUUAGCUAUCCCAUAACUACCACAUGAUUAUAUCUGUCACAAAUACCGAGCCUCACAGGAUAAAAUCUGGGACUGGAAACUUGAACUAUCAUUCAGAACUUGAGACAACAAGGCACGACGUCCGCAGCAGCAGUUAUGUCUACUAGCCCAAGCAGCAGCAGCAGUGACAGCACGGCCAUGCCAGUAUACCCUCCGCUUGUCGUUCCUCACCUCCUCCUGUAUCUCCAGUUAACCAACCCCUACUCAGCAACAAGGUACUACAUAGAAGAGCUGCAAAGGAAAGGUAGUUGGGCUGCGAACUGUGCCAACACAAAUGAAUAACUGAUGAUGAGAAACCAAGUGGGAAGAGGAAAUAAAUAAUGGAGCACCUCCCGGCAUAACAGAAGAUCUCCUUGCAAAUCUUUAUCCAUGUGAAAGGGUGUGUGGUCUUGUUUGGGGUUCUUGUUUUUAAAUUUUGAGUAAUCCCACCGAUAUUACCUUUCACAAGAUUGUAUUUCAUAGAAUAAAAGCGUAUCUAGUAA